GUUGGGCGUGGUGGGGCAUGCCUGUAAUCCCAGCAGCUCAGGAGGCUGAGGCAGGAGGAUCACGAGUUCAAAGCCAGCCUCAGCAAAAGCAAGGCCCUAAGCAACUCAGUGAGACCCUGUCUCGC
RNAcentral lists this small RNA (125 nucleotides) under Marmota monax (woodchuck). Lineage: Eukaryota; Metazoa; Chordata; Mammalia; Rodentia; Sciuridae. The record is from RNAcentral.